This 187-nucleotide ribosomal RNA is filed under the name uncultured bacterium. RNAcentral's name for it is "partial 16S ribosomal RNA". It matches the Rfam family "Bacterial small subunit ribosomal RNA", at positions 1315 to 1500 of the family's 1533-position model. The record is from RNAcentral.
CCUUCACGAAGUCGGAAUUGCUAGUAAUGGCAGGUCAGCAUACUGCCGUGAAUACGUUCCCGGGCCUUGUACACACCGCCCGUCACACCAUGAGAGUUAGGAAUACCCGAAGCCUGUGAGCCAACUUUAUAAGAGGCAGCAGUCGAAGGUAGAACUAAUGAUUGGGGUGAAGUCGUAACAAGGUAGC